Molecule: ribosomal RNA, 439 nt
Filed under: uncultured bacterium
Lineage: Bacteria
Description: partial 16S ribosomal RNA
Rfam family: Bacterial small subunit ribosomal RNA
Source: RNAcentral
CCUACGGGAGGCAGCAGUGGGGAAUAUUGCACAAUGGGGGAAACCCUGAUGCAGCGACGCCGCGUGAGUGAAGACGUAAUUCGUUAUGUAAAGCUCUAUCAGCAGGGAGGAAAAUGACGGUACCUGGGGAGGAAGCUCCGGCUAACUACAUGCCAGCAGCCGCGGUAAUACGUAGGGAGCGAGCGUUGUCCGGAAUUACUGGGUGUAAAGGGAGCGUAGGCGGGGAUGCAAGUUGGGUGGCAAAACUACCGGCUCAACUGGUAGUCGCACUCAAAACUGCAGCUCUUGAGUGAAGUAGAGGCAGGCGGAAUGCCUAGUGUAGCGGUGAAAUGCGUAGAUAUUAGGAGGAACACCAGUGGCGAAGGCGGCCUGCUGGGCUUUUACUGACGCUGAGGCUCGAAAGUGUGGGGAGCAAACAGGAUUAGAUACCCUUGUAGUC